UUAUUUAACUUGGUUAGUAAGUGCUUUCACUAUAAGAUAUUUUCAGAAAAAAGAAAAAUAAUAUUUUCACUAUAGUUAUGUAGUUAAUCAUUCGGUUUAAAAACCUGAAAAAUAUAUCUGGCAAACUUCUGGACAGAAUUAUAGCGCCUCCCGCGAAGGGAAACGAAAAGCGCAAAGACAGGCGAAAAGCGGUAGGGUGGUGGGGCGUGUGACGAGUAGGAGGGGCGGUUGAAAAUGGAAAACACAUAAAAUUAACAUACACACAGAGGAGCAAGAACAAGAACAACAGCAACAACAACGAUGCCGGCAGACGAUGAGCGAAUGCGACAGAACGAAUGGCGAAGAAAACGAAAAGAAGACGAAGGCGAAAGGCGGCCGCAAACAUUUGAGGUUACGUUUUCAGCGAGAAGAAUGCGAGUGGGUCGGUUUUUAUUAUUUUUUUUUUUUUGGUUGUUUACGAGAAUCUUCAUCUCUCCUUUACUCCCUUUUUUCGCUCCCCACAAAACGCCUCUCUUCGCGGAGAGACAAGUGCAGCAUGCGAAAAGGGAUAGAGAGACAGAGAGAGAGCGAACGCUGGGCCCCUGGAAACACGCACACACCCACACGCACGCUCGGGAAUAUAAAAACAAACAUAAAGAUAAACCAUAAAAGAGAUGGCUGACAAAACAAAGGAGGCGCGGCCAAUAAAUAGUUAAAAAUUAAACGCAUUGAAUUGUUUAAUAUUUUAGUUGGCACUUAGGCAUUCUUAUUGGGAAAAGCACGUAUAUACAAAUGCAAGGCGUCCCGUGAGAGAAAGAGAGAGCACGCACUCACACACACUCAUAUAUAUUGAAGAGGAAGGAAGCGGGGGAGCCGGGGAGAAGGAAGAAGCAGAGCAGCCAAAUGGCCGCCGCUCAAAAGGAAGAACACGAUGGAAUAAGGAAAUAAUGAAGCACACACACGCACAAUCGGAAAAAUUUGUUCACCAACAAAAAAAUCAGGAAUCAUCACCAUGUCAAUUAUUCGGCACACACGUUUAAUUGAUUUUUACCUUUUUCGGUCAAAAUACUAAGAAAAUUCGCAAACUAUUUAUACAUGUUUUCAUAUAUGUAUGUACAUACAUAUAUACAAAAAGCGGUCUGGAAAUACACACAUACACAUGCCGCUGUAGUCGAAAAGGAAACCCGCUGAUGACAAUGUAAAACGAAACAGGAGUACUUUACGGUUUUUUAGUUUUUUUUUUUAUCCAAGCACUUACACAUGCACUUAAAAAAGCCUUCGCAUCUGCAUUUCCUCUGAUGGAUGAUGAAGAAGAAAUCGGCCAGGAAUUUCUUCAACGUCGCCGCCGUCCGUCGCAGAACGAUAAUAAAAGCGAAA
Drosophila eugracilis is the source of this 1356-nucleotide long non-coding RNA. RefSeq lists it as uncharacterized. Lineage: Eukaryota; Metazoa; Arthropoda; Insecta; Diptera; Drosophilidae. The record is from RefSeq and is a predicted model, not a curated record. The transcript is spliced from 2 exons.